RNAcentral lists this long non-coding RNA (322 nucleotides) under Olea europaea (common olive). Its description in RNAcentral is "long non-coding RNA (OEUR_LNC010985)". Lineage: Eukaryota; Viridiplantae; Streptophyta; Magnoliopsida; Lamiales; Oleaceae. The record is from RNAcentral.
UAAAAUGUGAGAUUACCUUGUUUAUCUAAUUAAAACAUAUCAUGCUUUUGAUAGACCCCCAGUGAUUUUUAAAUACGCAAGAAGGAGUACGGAGGCAGCCACGUCAGCUAAGUAUCCAAAUUAAUUAAGCAUGCAGUUUGUUAUUCUGUUAUUUUGUUAGGGGGGAGGGUAGUGAGUCAGUUAGAGAGAUUGUCAAUAAAUGUAAGGGGGAGGGGCGGGUAACAAUUAGAGAAAAAUCAGGAAUCUGGUAGGAGAGUACAGAGCCUCUCGAAUGCUCUAGUUUGUUGGAGUCACAUUUUACGUUCAAUUCAAUAAAUUCACU